RNAcentral lists this ribosomal RNA (422 nucleotides) under uncultured bacterium. RNAcentral's name for it is "partial 16S ribosomal RNA". It matches the Rfam family "Bacterial small subunit ribosomal RNA", at positions 359 to 774 of the family's 1533-position model. The record is from RNAcentral.
GAUUUUUGACAAUGGGGGCAACACUGAUCCAGCCAUGCCACGCGUGUGAAGAUUAUCUUCGGAUUGUAAAGCAUAUUAAUUUGGGAGACAGAGCUUUAUGCUAUUACUCUGCAGUGUAGGCAUUACCAAUAGUAUAAGCACUUGCUAAUUAUGUUCCAGCAGACGCGGUAAUACAGAGGGUGCAAGCGUUAAUCGGAAUUACUGGGCGUAAAGAGCGGGUAGGUGGUUCAGUAAGAUCGGUGUGAAAGCCUCGGGCGUAACCUGGGAACUGCUGUAAUAACUGCUGAGCUAGAGUACGGUAGAGGGUAGUGGAAUUGCCUGUGUAGCGGUGAAAUGCGUAGAUAUAGGAAGGAACACCAGUGGCGAAGGCGACUACCUGGACUGAUACUGACACUGAGGUGCGAAAGCGUGGGGAGCAAACA